This 335-nucleotide long non-coding RNA is filed under the name Nicotiana benthamiana. RNAcentral describes it as "long non-coding RNA (NBEN_LNC015847)". Lineage: Eukaryota; Viridiplantae; Streptophyta; Magnoliopsida; Solanales; Solanaceae. The record is from RNAcentral.
CUGGUUUUGUUUCAAAUUCUGGCUUGGAUUUCUAGUUAAAUUGGUGAUUAAGCUGUUUGUGUGGGUGAUUUCUGUUUGCUCCUGGGUUUCAAAGCUGUCCUGGGCUGAUUGAAUAAAUAUGGACUUGCUGUUUAUUUCUACCCGUUAGUGAUGUUGUGCUGCUGAAUAUUAGUUGGUUACUUGUGGCUUAUCUCUUAUCUUCCUUUUUCUGUUCUGUUUCCAGGUACACUUACUCAAUCGUCUUGAUGUAAUUUCGAGUUUGAAGUGAAAUUGAAGUUGAAUGCCUGACUUAUGCUUAUUCACCUGCUGCGGUUAUGAUGUGUGUUUCUUCUUUC